GGGUGUGAAAGAGAAAGUUGACAGCGUGGAGCAGGAAAACGGUUCAGCGAGAGCCCACUUCCUCAAAACGUGAGCGGUGGAGGCAGGCGCUCAAAUGUCUCCUGUGGGAGGAUGUGGAGAAGCCGGAGCGCUCCCACGCGGCUGGUGGGCAGGCCGGGCGGCGGCCCCCGCGGGAACUCGGCCGUUCCUCGGAGGGUUGCGCGUGGGAUUACCAGACGGCUCAGCAGCUCCACUGCGGAGCUCGCCCCUGGUCUGAAAACAGGAGCCCACACCCCCGCACGCGACCUUCACCCAGCGCCGGGGACGGCAACCGGCUCGAUUCCACAGUGCGAACGGUCACCGCCGGAUAAACGGGUAAGUGGCGGAGCGUCGCUCAGCCGUGAGAGGAACGAGGUAGCGAGUUGGGCUGCAACAGGGACGGGGCUCCGACACAGCACGGGGCCAAGGCAAGCAAGCCAGGUUUCAAACAAACGUGUCUCCCCAUCACGACGCCAUCAGGAGAACUCAGGCUGUGGUGUCUCCGAGAACAUUCCUGAAAGAAGUCAGGACACAGGUUUUCCGAGAAAACCUCGGUGUUCCUCCCUUCCCACGGCGUGGGAUGGUCACCCCCUGACCUCUGCUCUUCCGGGUCACGGGACCACACUUCCCACGGUGGGUCCCAUCCUCGUGGUGUGGGUGGGACCAUCUGGCAGCCCCCGCCCGUAAGCUCUGCCCCGACAGCAAAGCCACUGGGCGCCCUCCCCGCUCCCCGCUCCCCGCUCCGGGCCUGAUCUAGGACGCGCGGAGCUCUGGGCCAUCUUCCCGCUCAGUGUGCCUCUCCCACGUGCUUCCUGUGAACCCGGACCCCCAGGGCCACCUGCCUGCCUGGCCUCUCCACCCACAUGGAAAUGGCGUCGCCAUCCACCGAGCACAGAGCCCGGGACUGUGCCUGUCCGCUCUGUUUAACGCGCGCGCCACGUCCACCUGAUGGCACGUCCCGACGUGUCACCUGGCGGUGUGUCCUGACAGCGCUGCCUCCGAGACGUGUCCCAACCCGAGGAGGUCGAGUCUCGUCCCGCCCCCGUCACAUCCUGCCUAGACCUGCAACGGUCCCCCGACGGGGCUCUGCCCGCACCCUCCUGGCCACGGUCACCCAACCACACGGUGCGGGCCGCCCAGCCUUACUGCCUCGCAGGCGCUCGGCCAGGCAGACAAGGAGCGCGAGCAAGAGCAGGGGGUGGGGGUUCCCGGAGGGAGUUCCGAGUCCAGUACGACCUCAGUAGCUGCCACAGCCUGGGCCAGGCGCCUCUCCCGCGCGCAAAUCUCGGCCGUGGCGCCUCGUCCUACCAGGCGCCACGCUGUCAGGCGCGGGCCCAGAAAGCCGAGGCCCCCUUGGGACGACGAGGCGGAGCUCUCGGGGACGGUCGGCACCGGACGUCUUCAGAAGAGCGCAGACCGGCCUUGCGGCCUCAGAGGAGCUCCCUUCCGCGCUUCCUGCCACGGCACGAGGCCCGUGAGUCCCCGGGCACAGGUGAGGGUCACCCUGCGGCCUCGUGUCAAACCCUUGUCUUACCAACCUUCAGAGCCAGGAGCCGAAAGUCAACGGUGCCUUGCCUUGGGGUUUGCCGGAACGAACCGCGCUUCGGCGAGGUUUUUGGUGCACACGGCCCAUUUGACUUGUGUGUGUGUGUGUGUACGUGUGCUCACGCACACGUCACGCAGAAUGUCCCACAGUGACCGCUCGUGAUCGUACGUUCACUGGCAGUGACCACAUCCACGCUCUUGCGCCACCAUCCCCACCGCCCGCCCCCCGAACGCUUUCAUCGUCCCGUGCGACUAUCGCUCUGAGCCGCUAAAAUGAUAGCUCCCCGCCCCCACCCGGGCCCCGGCAGCCACCAUGCCCCCCCCCCAUCCCCGUGAGUGAGCGGCGCUGGCCUGCCUCGUGUACGUGAACUGCGGCUCAUGUCCCCGAGCGCGGUGUCCUCGAGGUUCAUCCGGGCCGCCUCCUGUGUCACAACCUCCUUCCCUUUCAAGGCUACGCGGUAUUUCAUCCCGUGUGUAAACCACACUUUGUGGAUCCCCUGGCU
RNA transcript from Herpailurus yagouaroundi (jaguarundi), 2066 nucleotides. RefSeq lists it as uncharacterized. The record is from RefSeq and is a predicted model, not a curated record. NCBI's taxonomy places the organism in Eukaryota, Metazoa, Chordata, Mammalia, Carnivora, Felidae. The transcript has 3 exons.